This 494-nucleotide ribosomal RNA is filed under the name uncultured bacterium. RNAcentral describes it as "partial 16S ribosomal RNA". It matches the Rfam family "Bacterial small subunit ribosomal RNA", at positions 28 to 507 of the family's 1533-position model. The record is from RNAcentral.
GACGAACGCUGGCGGCGUGCUUAACACAUGCAAGUCGAACGGAAAGGCCUGCUUUCCCUUGUGGAUUGCGGGUACUCGAGUGGCGAACGGGUGAGUAACACGUGAGUGAUCUGCCCCCAACUUGGGUAUAAGCCUGGGGAACUGGGUCUAAUUCCCGAUAGGACUGCAGGGUGGUGCCUGUGGUGGAAAACGAUUUUCUAGUGGUUGGGGAUGAGCUCGCGGCCUAUCAGCUUGUUGGUGGGGUAAUGGCCUACCAAGACGGCGACGGGUAGCCGGCCUGAGAGGGUGGACGGCCACAUUGGGACUGAGAUACGGCCCAGACUCCGACGGGAGGCAGCAGUGGGGAAGAUUGCACAAUGGGCGGAAGCCUGAUGCAGCGACGCCGCGUGGGGGAUGACGGCCUUCGGGUUGUAAACUCCUUUCGACCGCGAGGAAGCCACCUGGUUGGAAGGGUGGUGACGGUAGUGGUAGAAGAAGCACCGGCUAACUACGUG